Molecule: ribosomal RNA, 253 nt
Filed under: uncultured bacterium
Lineage: Bacteria
Description: partial 16S ribosomal RNA
Rfam family: Bacterial small subunit ribosomal RNA
Source: RNAcentral
UACGUAGGGUGCAAGCGUUGUCCGGAAUUAUUGGGCGUAAAGAGCUCGUAGGCGGUCUGUCGCGUCGGAUGUGAAAAUCCAGGGCUCAACCCUGGACCUGCAUUCGAUACGGGCAGACUAGAGUUCGGUAGGGGAUCACGGAAUUCCUGGUGUAGCGGUGAAAUGCGCAGAUAUCAGGAGGAACACCGGUGGCGAAGGCGGUGAUCUGGGCCGACACUGACGCUGUAGAGCGAAAGCGUGGGGAGCGAACAGG